RNAcentral lists this ribosomal RNA (405 nucleotides) under uncultured bacterium. RNAcentral's name for it is "bacterial SSU rRNA". It matches the Rfam family "Bacterial small subunit ribosomal RNA", at positions 28 to 424 of the family's 1533-position model. The record is from RNAcentral.
GACGAACGCUGGCGGCGUGCUUAACACAUGCAAGUCGAGCGGUAAGGCCCUUCGGGGUACACGAGCGGCGAACGGGUGAGUAACACGUGGGUGACCUGCCCUCCACUUCGGGAUAAGCCCGGGAAACUGGGUCUAAUACCGGACAGGACCAUUGCAUGCAUGUGCGGUGGUGGAAAGCCUGUGUCUUGAUUGAUGCUGGCGGUGGGGGAUGGGCCCGCGGUCUAUCAGCNGUUGGUGGGGUGAUGGCCUACCAAGGCGACGACGGAUAGCCGGCCUGAGAGGGUGAUCGGCCACACUGGGACUGAGACACGGCCCAGACUCCUACGGGAGGCAGCAGUGGGGAAUCUUGCGCAAUGGGCGGAAGCCUGACGCAGCAACGCCGCGUGAGGGAUGACGGCCUCGGUU